GAUGAACGCUGGCGGCGUGCCUAACACAUGCAAGUCGAACGACCACACGAUGAGCUCUCUCCCUUACCGUUAGCGGCGGACGGGCGGGUAAGACGUACAUCACCUACUUCUAUUACUUGGAUAACUUCGUAAAACCGCUUCUACUACCGGAUAAUAUAUUCAACGGCAUGGUUCAGUAGUUCAUGACGCUUUUGCUGUCACUUAUAGAUGGUCCCGGGCCGCAUUAGCUAGUUGGUAGGGUAACGGCUUACCAAGGCAACGAUGCGUAGCUGACCUGAGAGGAUGAUCGGCCACACUGGAACUGAGACACGGUCCAGACUCCUAGGGGAGGCAGCAGUGGGAAAUAUUGGCAAAGGGGGGAAACCUGAAGGCAGAAAGCCGGGGGGGUUAUAGAGGUCUUCGGAGCUGAAAACUCUGUUUGUAGGGAAAAAAAAGUGGGAAAGUAACUAUGCACUGCUUGACGGGAACUAAUAAGAAAGGCACGGCUAACCACGGU
This 496-nucleotide ribosomal RNA is filed under the name uncultured bacterium. RNAcentral describes it as "partial 16S ribosomal RNA". It matches the Rfam family "Bacterial small subunit ribosomal RNA", at positions 28 to 507 of the family's 1533-position model. The record is from RNAcentral.